AUGGUCGGACAAGGAAAAGCUGUCUCUAUUGUAAAAUUUCAAAUAUAACUUCUAAGUGAAAAGGCUUAGAUUUUUUAGGGGGACGAUAAGACCCUAUAAAGCUUUACAUAUGAAUAGAAUUUACUUAAUGASGAGUAAAAGUUUAAUCUAAUUAGUAUGUUUUGUUGGGGCGACAUAAAUAUAAUUUAUAUUAACUGUUUAUAAAAUAAUACAAUAAUAAAUGAUUUUAAUGUAGUUGAUCCUUAUUAAAGAUUAAAAGACUAAGUUACUUUAGGGAUAACAGCGUUAUUUCUUUUGAGAGCCCAUAUCGAAAAAGAAGUUUGCGACCUCGAUGUUGAAUUAAAAUAUCUAAAUAAUGCAGCAGUUAUUAAAGAGGGUCUGUUCGACC
This 388-nucleotide ribosomal RNA is filed under the name Hyas coarctatus. RNAcentral describes it as "partial 16S ribosomal RNA". The stretch from base 51 to 388 matches the Rfam family "Bacterial large subunit ribosomal RNA", at positions 2048 to 2586 of the family's 2925-position model. The record is from RNAcentral. Lineage: Eukaryota; Metazoa; Arthropoda; Malacostraca; Decapoda; Majidae.